This 21-nucleotide non-coding RNA is filed under the name Rattus norvegicus (Norway rat). The record is from RNAcentral. Lineage: Eukaryota; Metazoa; Chordata; Mammalia; Rodentia; Muridae.
AUGGCUGUCAUCAGUGGCCAC